RNAcentral lists this ribosomal RNA (245 nucleotides) under uncultured bacterium. RNAcentral's name for it is "partial 16S ribosomal RNA". It matches the Rfam family "Bacterial small subunit ribosomal RNA", at positions 91 to 334 of the family's 1533-position model. The record is from RNAcentral.
CCUAGUGGCGGACGGGUGAGUAACGCGUGAGUAACCUGCCUUUCAGAGGGGAAUAACGUUCUGAAAAGAACGCUAAUACCGCAUAACGUACAGUUACCGCAUGGUAGCAGUACCAAAGGAGCAAUCCGCUGAAAGAUGGACUCGCGUCCGAUUAGCUAGUUGGUGGGGUAAAGACCUACCAAGGCGACGAUCGGUAGCCGGACUGAGAGGUUGAACGGCCACAUUGGGACUGAGACACGGCCCAG